ACAUACGACCAUAGCCACAAGAGAACUCGGGAUCCCGUCCGCUCUCCCAUAGAUAAGCUCGUGAGCGGUUGAUUAGUAGUUGGGUCGGUGACGACCAGCGAAUACCAGCUGUUGUAUGUU
Molecule: ribosomal RNA, 120 nt
Organism: Purpureocillium lilacinum
Lineage: Eukaryota; Fungi; Ascomycota; Sordariomycetes; Hypocreales; Ophiocordycipitaceae
Source: Rfam